RNAcentral lists this ribosomal RNA (929 nucleotides) under Bacillus sp. P2(2010). RNAcentral describes it as "bacterial SSU rRNA". It matches the Rfam family "Bacterial small subunit ribosomal RNA", at positions 52 to 972 of the family's 1533-position model. Lineage: Bacteria; Bacillati; Bacillota; Bacilli; Caryophanales; Bacillaceae. The record is from RNAcentral.
UACAUGCAUGUCGCGCGGUCGACGGGAGCUUGCUCCCUGAGAUUAGCGGCGGACGGGUGAGUAACACGUGGGCAACCUGCCUAUAAGACUGGGAUAACUUCGGGAAACCGGAGCUAAUACCGGAUACGUUCUUUUCUCGCAUGAGAGAAGAUGGAAAGACGGUUUACGCUGUCACUUAUAGAUGGGCCCGCGGCGCAUUAGCUAGUUGGUGAGGUAAUGGCUCACCAAGGCGACGAUGCGUAGCCGACCUGAGAGGGUGAUCGGCCACACUGGGACUGAGACACGGCCCAGACUCCUACGGGAGGCAGCAGUAGGGAAUCUUCCGCAAUGGACGAAAGUCUGACGGAGCAACGCCGCGUGAACGAAGAAGGCCUUCGGGUCGUAAAGUUCUGUUGUUAGGGAAGAACAAGUACCAGAGUAACUGCUGGUACCUUGACGGUACCUAACCAGAAAGCCACGGCUAACUACGUGCCAGCAGCCGCGGUAAUACGUAGGUGGCAAGCGUUGUCCGGAAUUAUUGGGCGUAAAGCGCGCGCAGGUGGUUCCUUAAGUCUGAUGUGAAAGCCCACGGCUCAACCGUGGAGGGUCAUUGGAAACUGGGGAACUUGAGUGCAGAAGAGGAAAGUGGAAUUCCAAGUGUAGCGGUGAAAUGCGUAGAGAUUUGGAGGAACACCAGUGGCGAAGGCGACUUUCUGGUCUGUAACUGACACUGAGGCGCGAAAGCGUGGGGAGCAAACAGGAUUAGAUACCUGGUAGUCCACGCCGUAAACGAUGAGUGCUAAGUGUUAGAGGGUUUCCGCCCUUUAGUGCUGCAGCUAACGCAUUAAGCACUCCGUCUGGGAGUACGGCCGCAAGGCUGAAACUCAAAGGAUUGACGGGGGCCGCACAAGCGUGGAGCANGUGGAUUANUCGAAGCACGCGAGAACCUA